This 253-nucleotide ribosomal RNA is filed under the name uncultured bacterium. RNAcentral's name for it is "partial 16S ribosomal RNA". It matches the Rfam family "Bacterial small subunit ribosomal RNA", at positions 524 to 776 of the family's 1533-position model. The record is from RNAcentral.
UACGUAGGGUGCGAGCGUUAAUCGGAAUUACUGGGCGUAAAGCGUGCGCAGGCGGUUUUGUAAGUCAGAUGGGAAAUCCCCGGGCUCAACCUGGGAACUGCAUUUGAGACUGCAAGGCUAGAGUGUGGCAGAGGGGGGUGGAAUUCCACGUGUAGCAGUGAAAUGCGUAGAUAUGCGGAGGAACACCGAUGGCGAAGGCAAUCCCCUGGGCCUGCACUGACGCUCAUGCACGAAAGCGUGGGGAGCAAACAGG